AAUGAACGUUGGCGGCGUGGAUUAGGCAUGCAAGUCGCACGAGAAACCAAUUAGCUUGCUAUGAGGUGGACAGUGGCGAAAGGGAGAGUAACGCGUGGUUACAUGCCCUCGAGACCGGGAUAGUGUCGGGAAACUGGCAGUAAUACCGGAUAACAUCUUUGGAUCAAAUGGUGUGAUUCCGCUCGAGGCUUGGACCGCGUACUAUUAGCUUGUUGGUGAGGUAAUGGCUCACCAAGGCUGCGAUGGUUACCGGGUGUGAGAGCAUGGCCCGGCUCACUGGGACUGAGACACUGCCCAGACAUCUACGGAUGGCUGAAGUCGAGAAUCUUCGGCAAUGGACGAAAGUCUGACCGAGCGACGCCGCGUGCGGGAUGAAGGCCCUCGGGUUGUAAACCGCUGUCAGUUGUUAGGAAAUCCAUGAGGGUUCUCUCUCAUGGUUGACCGAUCUUCAGAGGAAGGACGGGCUAAGUUCGUGCCAGCCGCCGCAGUAAAAC
RNAcentral lists this ribosomal RNA (494 nucleotides) under uncultured bacterium. RNAcentral's name for it is "bacterial SSU rRNA". It matches the Rfam family "Bacterial small subunit ribosomal RNA", at positions 29 to 526 of the family's 1533-position model. The record is from RNAcentral.